ACUGCUCAGUAACACGUGGACAACCUGCCCUUAGGUUGGGUAUAAACCCGGGAAACUGGGUAUAAUACCCGAUAGGUCUCGAUUGCUGGAAUGCAUCGAGAUUUAAAGCUCCGGCGCCUAAGGAUGGGUCUGCGGCCUAUCAGGUAGUAGUGGGUGUAGCGUACCUACUAGCCUACGACGGGUACGGGUUGUGAGAGCAAGAGCCCGGAGAUGGAUUCUGAGACACGAAUCCAGGCCCUACGGGGUGCAGCAGGCGCGAAAACUUUACAAUGCUGGCAACAGCGAUAAGGGAACCUCGAGUGCCAGGUUACAAAUCCGGCUGUCGAGAUGCCUAAAAAGCAUUUCAUAGCAAGGGCCGGGCAAGACCGGUGCCAGCCGCCGCGGUAACACCGGCGGCUCGAGUGGUAACCGUUAUUAUUGGGUCUAAAGGGUCUGUAGCCGGCCGGAUAAGUCUCUUGAGAAAUCUGGCAGCUUAACUGUCAGGCUUUCAGGAGAUACUGUCUGGCUCGAGGCCGGGAGAGGUGAGAGGUACUUCAGGGGUAGGGGUGAAAUCUUGUAAUCCUUGGAGGACCACCAGUGGCGAAGGCGUCUCACCAGAACGGACCUGACGGCAAGGGACGAAAGCUAGGGGCACGAACCGGAUUAGAUACCCGGGUAGUCCUAGCCGUAAACGAUACUCGCUAGGUGUCGGCCACGGUGCGACCGUUGUCGGUGCCGUAGGGAAGCCGUGAAGCGAGCCACCUGGGAAGUACGGCCGCAAGGCUGAAACUUAAAGGAAUUGGCGGGGGAGCAC
This 793-nucleotide ribosomal RNA is filed under the name uncultured archaeon. Its description in RNAcentral is "bacterial SSU rRNA". It matches the Rfam family "Archaeal small subunit ribosomal RNA", at positions 85 to 879 of the family's 1478-position model. The record is from RNAcentral.